RNAcentral lists this ribosomal RNA (468 nucleotides) under uncultured bacterium. RNAcentral describes it as "partial 16S ribosomal RNA". It matches the Rfam family "Bacterial small subunit ribosomal RNA", at positions 28 to 507 of the family's 1533-position model. The record is from RNAcentral.
GACGAACGCUGGCGGCGUGCUUAACACAUGCAAGUCGAACGGUAAGGCCCUGCUUUUGUGGGGUGCUCGAGUGGCGAACGGGUGAGUAACACGCGAGUAACCUGCCCUUGACUUUGGGAUAACUUCAGGAAACUGGGGCUAAUACCGGAUAGGAGCUUCUGCUGCAUGGUGGGGGUUGGCACGUUUCGGCGGUUGGGGAUGGACUCGCGGCUUACCAGCUUGUUGGUGGGGUAGUGGCUUACCAAGGCUUUGACGGGUAGCCGGCCUGAGCGGGUGACCGGCCACAUUGGGACUGAGAUACGGCCCAGACUCCUACGGGAGGCAGCAGUGGGGAAUAUUGCACAAUGGGCGGAAGCCUGAUGCAGCAACGCCGCGUGCGGGAUGACGGCCUUCGGGUUGUAAACCGCUUUCGCUUGUGACGAAGCGAGAGUGACGGUAACGGGAGAAGAAGCACCGGCUAACUACGUG